Molecule: ribosomal RNA, 380 nt
Filed under: uncultured soil bacterium
Lineage: Bacteria
Description: bacterial SSU rRNA
Rfam family: Bacterial small subunit ribosomal RNA
Source: RNAcentral
AGAUUGAACGCUGGCGGCAUGCCUAACACAUGCAAGUCGAACGGGAGUAGCAAUACUCUAGUGGCGGACGGGUGAGGAAUACGUAGGAAUUUGCCCUUAAGUGGGGGAUAACCCGGGGAAACCCGGAUUAAUACCGCAUGACCUCGAAAGAGCAAAGUGGGGGAUCGCAAGACCUCACGCUUUUGGAGAAGCCUACGUCGGAUUAGCUAGUUGGUGAGGUAAUGGCUCACCAAGGCGACGAUCCGUAACUGGUCUGAGAGGAUGAUCAGUCACACCGGAACUGAGACACGGUCCGGACUCCUACGGGAGCAGCAGUGGGGAAUAUUGGACAAUGGGCGCAAGCCUGAUCCAGCAAUGCCGNGUGUGUGAAGAAGGCCUUC